Gallus gallus (chicken) is the source of this 1866-nucleotide long non-coding RNA. The record is from Ensembl. Lineage: Eukaryota; Metazoa; Chordata; Aves; Galliformes; Phasianidae.
AACGCAUUCAUCUCAAGGCCACGGUGUUCGGGUAGAGCUCAAACAGACAGCUUAAACACUGAAUGCUACGUGCUGCAAUAUGUGUCUGCAGAAUCUACUUGUGCUUCAAAAUGACAGAAAGGCAGCACUCAUUCAUUUAGAUGACACUGAGCUACAUAAAAGGAAAAUAUUUUUCCAGGCAGAAAAGAAACAAAUAACAAUGUGCCCCAUGCAUAAUCUGCACUGCAGAUGUACACACCUGUCGUGAGGGAAGCAAGUACUCAGAGGUCUGUGGCACGGCCUGCCUGGUACAACCUGGUGGCUUCUGCCACAUCAAGCCCAGAAAGCCCUGGGUCCGCCCCACCUCUCAAAUCAGGCAACUGCAAAAACGGUGCACUCUGGAUCUACUCUUCUGGAGCUUUCUGUAGCAAUAAGAAACAUCCUGUUGGUUUGUUGUCGAAUAGAAUCUGAGUGUGCUCUCGCUGGCAGCUCCAAGGGCAAAACAAGGAUCCAUCAGCCUGUCUGCAGCAUUGCUCGCUGUGCCUGGCACGAGAGCUGGGGGGGCCAAUGGCCGCAGGGAUGUAAGCCCAGUCGAGGAGAAGAAUGUGUGUCCUUCUGCAGGUCUAACUUUCCUCAUAAAGAUGCACUUUUCACAUUACAGGAGCUCUCCUGAAAUAAAACGCAAUGGAGUCCGCCCAAGUACACACAGGAUGCCAGCCUCAAGGAGCAAACGAUCAUUGCUGAUUAUAAAACAGAGUCACGGUACACAGACACAAAUGCACAUGUAAAUUCAUAAGAUUUUAUAUAUGUAUAUGCACACCCCAUAUGAACCAGGCAACUUUCCAGUCUCCCAUAACUCCUAGGACAUGUGACCAGUGAAUUGGUGAGCUUUUGUUAACACAGCCUGCAUUGACUGAGCACUGUGCUAUAUGUAACCAACAAAUACUCUGUGUUAUGGGGGGGCACCACCUUGUUUGCUGAAUGGUCACUGUCAUCUGCUCAGAUUUAUCAUUGUUUCUUCUUUGUCCUCUUCUUGUCCUUGUCUGUAGGAGGGACUUCCUAUGCAGCCCAAGGAGUUCCAUGCUGUAUUACUGCGAGGGACGUCACCUUUCACAGCUGGCUCCCGAGCAGCAGCAUAAUGACAAAUAAGAGAGAGGAAAAUAGCACACAUCAAAGAAGAGGAAGAACAGCUUAGAACACAAAUGUAAACAAGAAGAAAAUGUCAGAUGCUGCCUAGAGAGUAUUUUUCUCCCAGGUGUUGGACAUUUCAGUUUUGAGAUCAAGUUUGGUGUUCAGAAGAUUCUCCGGCAACACAGCAAGGAGCACCGUUCGAGUUCAUGGCCCUAGAUGAAAGAAGAGAGAAAGAGAGGCCUUUGGCUUAACGACAGUGGCACUUUGCAGACCUGCAGUGUUGGGGCAGGGUGCAAGCACGAAGUUCACCACCUAUUGGCAGAGCCGUGUGGUAUCUCCUAUGGAGAGAUGAGAAAAACCCUCAAGAAACUUUGAGAAAAGAACAGUGAAACCCCAGAGACUGGAACACGUGUUCCACACUGCACAGAAUGCCCCCGGGGCAUUGUAGUAUUCGUGGUGACAGUUAGGAUGGAAUAUAAUGUCUAGCAGGGUGAGGACAUGGCCAAUUUUCUUGGCUGCUACUACAUACCUAAAUAUAAACGACUGCACCAUUUUGAGAUUUUUUGCCUGAUAAAAUGACUAAAUAACUUCUUUUGGAUCCUUGUAAUAACCACGGGCACGGCCUUUACUACGGGGUCCCGUGACCUUAAAGUCAUUCCUCAGCUUCUCUGUCUGUGCAACAGCACAGGAGUAUUUGUGUCUUUUUGGAGUUUUAAUGUCUUCAAAGCACUCAGAGAUUUUUCAAGCACGCCUUGC